Paramormyrops kingsleyae is the source of this 516-nucleotide long non-coding RNA. RefSeq lists it as uncharacterized. Lineage: Eukaryota; Metazoa; Chordata; Actinopteri; Osteoglossiformes; Mormyridae. The record is from RefSeq and is a predicted model, not a curated record.
CGGAUGGCCGCCGACGACAAAUACUGCCGCUGAAAGCUGACUGAUUUCUGCGCAUUACAGUCCGGAGCUCUAAGUCGAUAAACAAAAUUACUCAACCUGUGGCAAACGGACGUCCACCACCUAAAAACUAACCAGCCCUAUUUACACCAUCAUUCUGUCCAGGUGCUUGCAAACACACUGAUUUUCGGUCAGAUACACCUAUGCAAUUCUUCUAAACAAAAGCACAAUACAAAAUGGGUCUCCACUGAGUAGGACACUGCUGAUACAUUAUAUACAUAUAUCCAGCUCUAUAAAUGGCUAAACAUGGGGUGAGACGUGCCAGCCGGACUUCAUAAUUCGCCUUCAGCUUCUGAUUGAGCCGUGAAGCCUCCUCCAGUGGGGGGGGAGAAACGGCGAUGCAGCUCCUCCUCCGUCAGACAAGACCCGGCGGUGUCGGGUGGGGGUGUCACCAGACUCGAGCUUGGGUGCUGGAAACACUGCAGGAGGACGCAGGGGGCAGUGUGCAGCCACUGGAAC